Molecule: long non-coding RNA, 729 nt
Filed under: Oryctolagus cuniculus (rabbit)
Lineage: Eukaryota; Metazoa; Chordata; Mammalia; Lagomorpha; Leporidae
Description: lncRNA (ENSOCUG00000039483.1)
Source: RNAcentral
AAUACAGUAGAAUAUCACAUAAACAUCCAAUCCACCUAAAUUUAUAUGGCUUUGUUUCAUAAAGAAGACUAGCAAGAAGAAAGCAACAGAAAGUAUGAAAAAGAAAACUAACUACUUAGGUGAACAGUUUUGCUACCAUCCCCUCAUUUAUAAGAAACAAUUUAUGAGAAACAUGCCUGUUUUUCCAUUUGCAGGUUUCAACCCCUGCAUGCUUCUCAUAAGAUCAUCAUCAAUCCACAAUGGGACUAAGAAAUGAACUGCUUAAGGUCACAGGGUUCAUCAGAACUGGAGUUCAAGUUCUCUAACAUCAAAUCCAGCACUUUUUUCUUUCUUCUUUUUAAUCAUGGUAGGUUUCACAUUUGAUUUGUGGAUAUAACUUUCUAAGACCUAUAUAGACAAAAUUUUUUACUUUCAAACAGAAUAUUUGAACUAAUCUGAUAAGUUACUCCAAGUAAUAUAUCCAGUUAACCGACAAGAGUUUAUAUGUUCAUGUUUGUGGUCUUGAAUUUCUUAAAUUUGGUAGGAUAAUGUGAUGUUAAUAGCUGAACUUCUGGAGUAAAUCAAACUAUCAGUGUGAUUACAGACAAAUUGUUUACUCUCAGCCUCAAUUCCCUAUCAUCACAAUAUAAGUAAUAUAAGGAUCUACUCACAGAAUUGUUGAAUGUUAAAUAUAGCAUUGUACAUAAAGUGCUUAAUAAACACUAUUCAAUAAAUACUAGUUAUUACUAA